Molecule: ribosomal RNA, 436 nt
Filed under: uncultured bacterium
Lineage: Bacteria
Description: bacterial SSU rRNA
Rfam family: Bacterial small subunit ribosomal RNA
Source: RNAcentral
AACGCGAAGAACCUUACCAGGUCUUGACAUCCCGUUGACCACUGUAGAGAUAUAGUUUCCCCUUCGGGGGCAACGGUGACAGGUGGUGCAUGGUUGUCGUCAGCUCGUGUCGUGAGAUGUUGGGUUAAGUCCCGCAACGAGCGCAACCCUUGAUCUUAGUUGCCAUCAUUUAGUUGGGCACUCUUAGGUGACUGCCGGUGACAAACCGGAGGAAGGUGGGGAUGACGUCAAAUCAUCAUGCCCCUUAUGACCUGGGCUACACACGUGCUACAAUGGACGAUACAAACGGUUGCCAACUCGCGAGAGGGAGCUAAUCCGAUAAAGUCGUUCUCAGUUCGGAUUGUAGGCUGCAACUCGCCUACAUGAAGCCGGAAUCACUAGUAAUCGCGGAUCAGCAUGCCGCGGUGAAUACGUUCCCGGGUCUUGUACACACCGA